GAUCAUGGCUCAGAUUGAACGCUGGCGGAAUGCUUUACACAUGCAAGUCGAACGGUAGAGGGGGCAACCCCUCGAGAGUGGCGAACGGGUGAGUAAUAUAUCGGAACGUGCCCAGUCGUGGGGGAUAACGUAGCGAAAGUUACGCUAAUACCGCAUACGAUCUACGGAUGAAAGCGGGGGAUCGCAAGACCCCGCGCGAUUGGAGCGGCCGAUAUCAGAUUAGGUAGUUGGUGGGAUAAAAGCUUACCAAGCCGACGAUCUGUAGCUGGUCUGAGAGGACGAUCAGCCACACUGGGACUGAGACACGGCCCAAACUCCUACGGGAGGCAGCAGUGGGGAAUUUUGGACAAUGGGCGCAAGCCUGAUCCAGCAAUGCCGCGUGCAGGAUGAAGGCCUUCGGGUUGUAAACUGCUUUUGUACGGAACGAAAAGCUUCGGGCUAAUACCCUGGAGUCAUGACGGUACCGUAAGAAUAAGCACCGGCUAACUACGUG
Molecule: ribosomal RNA, 493 nt
Filed under: uncultured bacterium
Lineage: Bacteria
Description: bacterial SSU rRNA
Rfam family: Bacterial small subunit ribosomal RNA
Source: RNAcentral